This 274-nucleotide ribosomal RNA is filed under the name uncultured bacterium. RNAcentral describes it as "partial 16S ribosomal RNA". It matches the Rfam family "Bacterial small subunit ribosomal RNA", at positions 523 to 796 of the family's 1533-position model. The record is from RNAcentral.
AUACGGAGGGUGCAAGCGUUAUCCGGAUUCAUUGGGUUUAAAGGGUACGUAGGCGGAUAGAUAAGGUAGUGGUGAAAUCCCGAAGCUCAACUUCGGAACUGCCAUUAAAACUGUCUAUCUUGAAUUUGGUUGAAGUGGGCGGAAUAUGACAUGUAGCGGUGAAAUGCAUAGAUAUGUCAUGGAACACCAAUAGUGAAGACAGCUCACUAAGCCAAUAUUGACGCUGAGGUACGAAAGCAUGGGUAGCGAACAGGAUUAGAAACCCUAGUAGUCC